This 1023-nucleotide long non-coding RNA is filed under the name Homo sapiens (human). RNAcentral describes it as "HSALNT0007189". Lineage: Eukaryota; Metazoa; Chordata; Mammalia; Primates; Hominidae. The record is from RNAcentral.
UAAACUUCUAAAGGUAAAGGCAUCUGUUUUACAUUAUCUUUUAUGACUUGGAAUAUUUGACUGGUAUUUCUAUUGUGGUAUAAAUGUUUGAAGAGCAAGGUCCCUGGUUUUCUGCUUCCCAGAACUAUUAAGAACACCAAUUGCAAUCACUGUCAGUCCUUGGGGGACAAUUUGCAUGUGAACAACUGAUUAGUCAGCUUGUCUGUUCAUUUUUACAUGAACUGCAUGUCAGACAAUGCCUCAUAUCCUAUCAGAGGCCUUCCAUUUCCAUUUUGGGAGUUUAAAGAAUUUGGUAUCCCAGAUUAAUCUGCCUUUUGAGCAUGAAAACAGUGGGUAAUAUUUUCCAUUCCUUUCAUUGGUGAGCCAAAAACUCAAGGUGCAAGUGGAAUUCGAUCUUUAAGACUCUUUCUACCACACUUCGUGCAAGUCUUCCCUCUCCUGGCUCCAAGAGGUGUUGCCAAAGGAGAUUACCAUCUGAGUCAGUGGACUGGGAGAGACAGACCCACCCUCAGUCUGGGUGGGUACCAUCUAAUCAGCUACCCACACGGCUAGAAUAAAGCAGGCAGAAGAAAGUGAUCAACAGACUUGCUGAGUCUUCUGGCCUUCAUCUUUCUCCCGUGCUGGAUGCUUCCUGCCCCUGAACGUCAGACUCCAAGUUCUUCAGAUUAUGGACACUUGGACUUACACCAGUGGUUCACCAGGGGCUCUCGAGCCUUUGGCCACAGACUGAGGUUAUUUCUGGACACAGUAAUCCUUCAGCAAUACAAUUACCAAGUUAUUCAACAUGGAAGGCUUUGCCAAGACAGUGGUGGCUGGGAUUUGACCCUCUAAGUGUGAGCACAUCACUUCAGCCCCAGGGUUGGAUUAAUUAAGGCCUGCAUGCACACUCCUCCUCCCAUCCUGAGAAUGAUGGUAAAGGUCACAGCUACUAAAACCACAAAGGCCUCAAUGACAUCCUAUUUCAGUGUUAGAAUUCCAAGAAGGCUUUUGUUAAAAUAAACAUCAAGAGAUUUUAAAUAAACU